This is a non-coding RNA of Paramuricea clavata, 65 nucleotides long. NCBI's taxonomy places the organism in Eukaryota, Metazoa, Cnidaria, Anthozoa, Malacalcyonacea, Plexauridae. The record is from the annotation of a GenBank genome assembly.
CUCUCUGUAGCUCAGUUGGUUAGAGCGCUGCACCGGUAUCGCAGGUUAGAUUCCUGUCAGGGACC